UACGUAGGGUGCGAGCGUUAAUCGGAAUUACUGGGCGUAAAGGGUGCGCAGGCGGUUUCGCAAGUCAGACGUGAAAUCCCCGAGCUUAACUUGGGAAUUGCGUUUGAAACUACGAGACUGGAGUGUGGCAGAGGGAGGUGGAAUUCCACGUGUAGCGGUGAAAUGCGUAGAUAUGUGGAGGAACACCGAUGGCGAAGGCAGCCUCCUGGGCCAACACUGACGCUCAUGCACGAAAGCGUGGGGAGCAAACAGG
RNAcentral lists this ribosomal RNA (253 nucleotides) under uncultured bacterium. Its description in RNAcentral is "partial 16S ribosomal RNA". It matches the Rfam family "Bacterial small subunit ribosomal RNA", at positions 524 to 776 of the family's 1533-position model. The record is from RNAcentral.